CGCCACUGCAAAUGGCCCAAAACAUAUUAACACCACUCUGACAAGGGUCAAGUUUGAAGAAUUGUGUUGAAAUUUGUUAGACAGAUUAUGCAGCACCAUUGUUUUCCCCUUGAUAAGUGUCUUGGUGAACAUUUGCUUAUUUAGCCUGUGUGAAGCAUGAGUCUCAAAAAAAUUGCUGCCAUCAGGCUCCCUCUUUGGUACACAUUCCAUGAAGAGCACACAUCAAUGUUAAAAGAGCUAUAGAG
Molecule: long non-coding RNA, 245 nt
Organism: Quercus lobata
Lineage: Eukaryota; Viridiplantae; Streptophyta; Magnoliopsida; Fagales; Fagaceae
Exons: 3
Source: RefSeq, a predicted model, not a curated record